This 1140-nucleotide ribosomal RNA is filed under the name Triticum aestivum (bread wheat). RNAcentral describes it as "partial small subunit ribosomal RNA". Lineage: Eukaryota; Viridiplantae; Streptophyta; Magnoliopsida; Poales; Poaceae. The record is from RNAcentral.
AUGGGGAAGGAGUGCCUUCCUACCGUCGCCAUGGUGCUAGUGCAGCUAGGCUUUGCCGGUAUGAACGUGCUGUCCAAGCUGGCCUUGGACACCGGCAUGAGCCCCUACGUGCUCAUUGCCUACCGUAAUCUCAUCGCCGGCGUGUUCCUCGCUCCCGGCGCUUACUACUUUGAAAGGAGGAGUGGCAUGGUGAUCACCAAGAAACUACUAACCCAGAUAUUCUUUUCCUCUAUUUUUGGCGCGACGCUGAACCAGGUGUUGUACUUCAUGGGGCUCAAGUCCACAACGCCGACAGUGGCGUGCGCGCUCAGCAACACACUCCCGGCAUUAACCUUUGUCAUGGCGGUCGUCCUCAAGAUGGAGACAGUGAGGCUCGGGACGCCCUCCGGGCAGGCCAAGGUUUUUGGCACCGUCGUGUGCGUCGGCGGUUCCAUGAUCAUGCCCUUCUACAAGGGUCCGCUACUAAAGGUGUGGGCAUCCCCGAUGCACUGGCGCUACGCGGAGCACGCGACUGACGCGACAGCACUUCCCAGCGGCAACGCCGCCAUCGUCGGUGACGCCGUCUGGUUCAUCCUCCAGAGCAAGAUGUCGGAAAGGUUCUCUGCGCCCUACACCAGCACGACGAUCAUGUCCCUGAUGGCCGGGGUGCAGUGCGCAGGCGUCAGCGCUGUCAUGGACCGGAGCGUGUCGGCGUGGAAGCUUGGGUUUGACAUCAGGCUAUACGCCGCGCUUUACGUCGGGGUGGUUGGCUCCGGGAUCGCGUUCACGGUCAUGUCGUGGUGCAUCCAGUCCCGCGGCCCGCUGUUCGUGUCCAUGUUCAGCCCGCUGAUGCUCGUGGUCGUGGCUGUGGUCGGCUGGGCCAUCCUCGAGGAGAAGAUACACGUCGGAAGUGCCAUCGGUUCUUCCCUCAUCGUCGCUAGGUUGUAUAUGGUGCUUUGGGGCAAGGGGAGGGAGAUGACCGGGCCGUCUGACCUCCACGGUGAUGGCGGCGGCACGGCUCUAGAGACCAUGAUUGUCCUGGAGCUCAACUGCAAGGAUGCCAGGAACGGAACACCGCCAUCUUGCCGGUGUUCCGUACUACCAGUCCCAAGCACCAACUUGAGACGAUCCCAAACGGCACUGACUGGUAGAUGCUGGUGA